AUUGAACGCUGGCGGCAGGCCUAACACAUGCAAGUCGAACGGUAACAGGAAGCAGCUUGCUGCUUUGCUGACGAGUGGCGGACGGGUGAGUAAUGUCUGGGAAACUGCCUGAUGGAGGGGGAUAACUACUGGAAACGGUAGCUAAUACCGCAUAACGUCGCAAGACCAAAGAGGGGGACCUUAGGGCCUCUUGCCAUCGGAUGUGCCCAGAUGGGAUUAGCUAGUAGGUGGGGUAACGGCUCACCCAGGCGACGAUCCCUAGCUGGUCUGAGAGGAUGACCAGCCACACUGGAACUGAGACACGGUCCAGACUCCUACGGGAGGCAGCAGUGGGGAAUAUUGCACAAUGGGCGCAAGCCUGAUGCAGCCAUGCCGCGUGUAUGAAGAAGGCCUUCGGGUUGUAAAGUACUUUCAGCGGGGAGGAAGGGAGUAAAGUUAAUACCUUUGCUCAUUGACGUUACCCGCAGAAGAAGCACCGGCUAACUCCGUG
Molecule: ribosomal RNA, 490 nt
Filed under: uncultured bacterium
Lineage: Bacteria
Description: partial 16S ribosomal RNA
Rfam family: Bacterial small subunit ribosomal RNA
Source: RNAcentral